UACGGAGGGUGCUAGCGUUGUUCGGAAUUACUGGGCGUAAAGGGCGCGUAGGCGGCCGUUUGCGUCGGAUGUGAAAGCCCGGGGCUCAACCUCGGAACGGCAUUCGAUACGGGACGGCUGGAGACCGGGAGAGGAGAGUGGAAUAGCCAGUGUAGAGGUGAAAUUCGUAGAUAUUGGGAAGAACACCGGUGGCGAAGGCGGCGCUCUGGACCGAGACUGACGCUGAGGCGCGAAAGCCAGGGGAGCGAACGGG
Molecule: ribosomal RNA, 253 nt
Filed under: uncultured bacterium
Lineage: Bacteria
Description: partial 16S ribosomal RNA
Rfam family: Bacterial small subunit ribosomal RNA
Source: RNAcentral